Molecule: long non-coding RNA, 8109 nt
Organism: Brassica napus (rape)
Lineage: Eukaryota; Viridiplantae; Streptophyta; Magnoliopsida; Brassicales; Brassicaceae
Exons: 7
Source: RefSeq, a predicted model, not a curated record
AGACUCAAUUUUGGACUUAUGAUGGAAUUUUGGCACCAAUUGCUCUUACGAAUUAUUAAAAACAAAUUAGAAUAGGAAAUCAAAGGAAAAAAAUAGGAAAUCAAAUACAUAAGAUCUGAUUGGUCAACAUAAAAGCAGCCUAUCAGAUACAAGGGCUCGGAUCAUGCUCUGUUUAACCACAGCCAUUGAUAAAAGUGAAUCUAACGGACCAAAAUGCACUAAGGUAAAAAACACACUUUUUCUUCCAUCUCUUUCUUCCUUUCUCUCCUCUCAACUCUUCGUAUCCUCUAUCUCUCUGUCUUCGUGAAUCUAAACAGUCUUAACAACCAACACCACCACCUCCGACACCAUUAUCUCAAUCUCCACCUCCUCAUUCACCACUUCUCUACCUGAUUACUCUUUUUAUUUAUUUUUCUAUAUUCUCAGUGUUUUUUUCUUUUUCUUUUUUCAGAUGCAGAUCUAAAAAAGAAUCUUGACAGCAGAGGAGGAGGCAGAAGAAUCUUGACAGCAGAGGAGAUAGAAGAAGCUUGAUGGCGGAGGAGGCAUAAGAAGCCUGACGGCGGAGAAGGCGUGGCGAGCAUAUCAGUUCGUCGGUUCAGCCGUAACACCGGUGGCCUACCACCAGCAGACUGAGUCAUCGCUUAACCCAUGGCAUCCAGAGCAGGUGGAGAUGUCGGUGUAAAAGCUGAUGGAGGUGUCGGUGGAGAAGCCGGUGGCGGAGCCGAUGGUGGAGCGGUGGAGGCAUUGAUUCCAUAUAAUAUAUAUAUAUAUAUAUGUAUGUAAUUUUCUGUAAAUAUAUGUAAUUAUGUAUAUUACAUAAUUUGUGUUUUCUGAAUUAAAUUAAUAAAAAUCUAUUUUUAUUUUGUGUUUAUUUUUUUUUAAAUAUUUUUCGUAGAUAGUCACGUUAAGUCACAACAAAAAACGUGACUGAGUAGAUACGAUUGCUUUUAUGACUUAAUGUGACAAUUACAGCCACAAAUGAAACUGUGUCCAAAACGUGACUAAAAUAGUCACGAAUUAUCACGGUCAAUUUUGGUCACGAUCGUAUAGACACAUUUUUUUUCCGUGACUUUUCGUGUCUAUGAUGUCAUAUAGUCACGAAAAAAGAGUCCCUAUCACGAAAAUUACCGUGUCUAUAUCAAAGUUUUCUACUAGUGUUUGUUUAUCAACUAUUUUUCGUGUAUUCCCAUGUUUUCCAUGUUUUUAAUAAAAACUUUGUUUUCCAUGUUUUACUCAGUUUUCCACUAUGUCCAACCGAACGACUAAUGCGUAAAUACCAGGUGUCAGGUGUCUAAGAAUGCAUAUGCACCCAUCUAACUAUAUGGGUGGUCUGAAAUUUAUUUACUUAAAUGGGGAACGUACCUCUUGAACUAUUCCUCGAUGAAGUGCACGUUUUACGUUCAUGAAAACUAGAUCGAGGUCAAUAAUAUCUACAUUCAUCUGCGUAUAAAAAGCAUUAGCAUUAGAGCUAAAUAUAACACGAUUUCUUGUACGUUAAUGUCUUCUUGCCAAUUGAAAUAGCAUAUAUAUAUAUAUAUAUGUGUAAUUCUGCCUACAAAUAAAAUAAACAGCUAGCUGUAUUUUGUCAUAAAGUAUAAAUGCAUAGCCAGUUUGUGUUCUUGUAUGGUUGGGUAAAUGUAAAAAACCACGUCCAUGCAAAGUCAGCUAAACAAAAAGAGUAAUAAAGUUGAAACAGAAAUAAAUCUGAGGGAAAAAAUGUCAAGACGGUGACGAAAUUGUUUGUAAGAAAGUAACUUUAUCAAUAUUUUCCUAAAUAGAUAGAGAAAGUAUUUCAAAGAAAAGAAAUGGCUUUUGGUUUCGAAGAGAAGGAUAUUGAAGCAAACUUGUUACGCUCCAAAUGGUGUAUAAAUAAUACACAUGAUUAUAGCACUACUCCGCUAUGAGUCAGAUAACAAACAAACCUUCCCAUAGAAAAAGAAAACCACAUACAAGAUCAGCCACAACUUUUUCAAUAAUGGCGAACGAAAACUCGAGCUUCCAAGAAUUAGCCAUAGGAACUACGGUUAGCUUCAAAAGGAGGAGUACCGGAGAGCGGUUUCAUGGAUCGGUCUUCUAUUUUAGCCCCCAAUUAAAUGGUUCCCUUUUUGGAAUCCAGAACGUAGGUGUGUGGAGGGUGGAUGGAAGAUAUGAACGUAUCUCAGGGUUUAACCACUUCAAUCUAAACGACAUCACGGAGUUGCAAGUGAAUGUAGUUCCUAGGCAAAACUCCAACACUCAGGAUGCUCAAAACAAUAAUAAUAAUGAUGGAUCUUCAUCCAAGUCAAUUGAGAGCAAAAUGGGAGCUCUCCGCCUUGAUCCACCUUCGAAGUGACUUGUUUACACACAAUUAGAUUUCUUUGAGUUGUAUUCCAUAAACAUACAUAUAUGAACCAUAUCAACCAGAUAAUUAGUCUAAAAACGUCCAUUACUACAAAACAUAGAUAUGUCACUGAGUCUAGUCUAAGACCUUAUUCUCUCCAAUAAAGGUACAAUGAGUGAUAAUCUAGUAAGAUUGUCUGGUUUGAUUUAAAUUAAUAAAUUAAUAAAUGUAUUACUCUUCGGUUAAUGAAGGUAUAUUUCUCUGUUUCUUUUUCCUUUUCCUUUUCUUGGUGAAUGUUUCAUCUAAAAGAACAAACGCGAGCACAUGACAGACUCACAAACAUUUAUAGAACUAGGCAUUCUAACCAAACUGUAAUUAUCAAUGUGAAGGAAAGUUUAGUUCUAAACCGAUGAGUAUUUUGCUAAACCAAGUCGAAUUUAAUCUGACCGGAUUAAUUAACAGAUAACUCAGCAAUCUAAAAUUAAAAAUUCUGAAAAUAAUAACAUAUUAUAUAUGAUUGAAUAAUGAUUUCUCUUCUAUGAAAAUCAAACGAACGAAAAAAAUUGGUUACGAUUCGGUGAAAACAUCAGUUACUAAAUAACCUAAAAACCUAACGUCAUCGAACCAAUCCAAACUGAUUAUGAAGUAUUUCGUCAUCUCAUGCUCUUGAAAGAGAAAUACAGGAGGCUUUUCUUAAUUUGUACAUAAAAACAAAAAUAUAUAAGUAAUAUGGGCCAUGCAUCAAAUGAAGGCCAUAUGAGAUUUCUAAACCAUGAUUCACCUUCCGAAUGACUCUGUUUCAUUGGAUACACAUGAGUUAGAUUAGAGAUAUUGUGUAAUCGUUUAAUUAUGCCAUUAGUUUAUGUUAUAUGGUGGUUAUAUAUAAGUUGUAGUCUCGUAAUCAAUAAUAUAGUACAAUCAUUUAUGUUCAAUAUAGUAUCAAAGCAGGUUAUAUUUCUAAGUUUUGAUCUAACAAAUCAAACUCAUUUUUUCUAAAAACUAUUUUUGGUCUUAAAAACAACAAAAAGACACAAACAUAUAAAAAAAAGGUGAAAAACAUUAAAAUUUAUUUGCUUCAUCUUACUUCAAGAAAUACUCCAGCGUCUAUAUCAGUAGGAUCUCUAUCAACGACGUCCACCACCUCUGUCACCGGAUUACUCUCAUUACCAUCUCUGCUUUGAAUUCUCGCUAUAAUCCGCUACCUCAAUCUCACCACCACCACUAAAAACAUUAUUGUUUUGCUUAUCUUUUACCUUUUGUAGGUUUUAAUUCUUUUUCUGUUCACUUGGUUUAGCUUUUUUUUUUAACACAUACUUUCACUAAAAGGCAAUUGCUAAUGAGCUGCAGAAACAGAGAGUGCCAUACAGAGAGCUGCUUUUGCUAAAGAGUCGGCCUGAGCAUUCAACAUCUGGGAACGAAAUUGGAACAUAAAAAGGAGAACGAAGAAGAUAGCUUUAUCUACAAAAAACAUUUGUUGGUGUCGUUUGGUUAUUGAAUCUUACUUAAUUUACUCCAGUGAUUGGAUGCACUGCUAUGGUGAUUAGCUACUCCAAUGUAAUACUAGGUGAUUUUCCUGUGGUUAUGCACAAGUAUAAAUAUUAUAAAUAAAUACAUUAUAAUAAUUUAAUAAUAAUUUAUUUUAAAUUUUUAAUUAUUUUAUUAUUUAUAUUGUAAUCAAUAUGAAUAGUUUUAAACAAUAUUAUAUUAUUUUAAUUAGAUGUAUAGUUUUGGAUAUAUAAUAUCUCGGCUGUUUGGUUAUUAUUUGGAUAUAUUAGAUAACAUUUACUUUUCCGAUUCAACUAUAAUAUUUAUAAUAUUAUUUGAAAAAUUUAUAUUUAUUUCUAAUAUGUUAAGCCGUUCUAUAAUUUAUAUGUAUAAAAGUAUUACUAUAAAUAAAAAUAUAUUAUUUUUAAUUUAAUGUUUGUCUUUGUAUAAAAAUUUAAAAUUGGUCUAGGUAACAUUUAAAUGAUUGGUUAAUUGUGUAUAUCCAUGCUAUACAUCAUAAUUGUUAUUAUAAACGACUAAACGAUUGGUAACAUUUUGCUAUGCAUUUUUAUUGGUUAUUUAAUAGCAUGUGUGGUUAUUAUUUACAUAUAUUUUUGGGUAGAAUUUUUAAUUGUUAUAGUAAUAAUCUGAACAUCUUAUCUCCUUUCAAUAAUAUUUUGAUCAUAAAUCAUACACAAUAUUUUGUGGAUAUAUUUUGUUACAUAUCUUCCGUCAAAUUAAAGUAUAACUAUUUCUAUUCAUUGUAUUAGUUUGGUUCUUCAUCUUAGAUGUGUAAAUAUAUUUUGAUUUUUUAGUAAUUUAGUAUAUGUUAGUUUGGAGAAACAAAAUUGUAAAAAUAAAGUGAUGAUAAGUACAAAGUUACAUAAAAACAUAACCGAUAAAUUUUAAAAGGAAAGAUUAUUUCUUUACUUUAAUAUCAAGAUUAUUUUUCUAAACUUUUUUUUUAUGAAUAUACAUUAUAUAUAUAAAAAUAUAUUCGUCUUAAAUUUUAUUAAUAUUUUAUUUAUCAUAUAUCUUAUUUGAAAAAUAAAAAAGGGAACCUAAAAAAAGAUUAAAUUAAAAUUUAUUCAUUAAAGAUAUCUUAAUUUAUGUUAUUUAAAUUAUUAUUUUUUAAUAAUUUGAUAAGUAGAUUGAUUUAAAUAAAAUGCUUGAUACUUUUAAAAUAUAUAUUAUGUUGUUUAAGAUUAUCUUUUACAAGGAAGGUUAUUUUUUUACUUUAAAAUCAAGAUAAUUUUGUGAAUUUUCUUUAUUAUGAAUUAUAAUAUAUAUAUAAAAUAUAUUUUCGUUUUUAAAAUUUAUAAAUUUCUUUAUUAUAUUGGUUAUUUGAAAAAAUAAAGAAAAAAGAAACCUAAUUGUCAGUUCAAAAAAAAAAUAACAAAAAAACAGUGCACUACUAGUAAUUACCUCUAAGACUACGUCUACACGGCUAAUGGGUACUCUCCGUGGCUCAGGUCGGCGUACAAAAUCGCUCGCCCAAACCUCCUACCUAUUAUACGACUUGAUACACACGUCAUAGUUGAUGAAGACAGUCCAUAAUCAUCCUAGGUCGAAGUGGACCUCAAAACGGCCGAUAAAGUAUACGAUAUCUAACUGCAUUGUGAGGUUUAGUUUUACGGUUAGGGUUAAGUCGUCACCAGAUCCUCCGCCUUGGCCUCAACCCUAGUAUUACCCGAGCUUACGACCAGUGGCGGAGGGAGAGAGGGUGGAAGGGGGGGGGGAAGCUGCCCCCUAUGAAAUUCUUAUUUUUUUGUAUAUUUUUUUGAUUAUUCAGAAUUUAUAUGGUUAAGUGGGUAAAAUUUCUUCUACUGCCCCCUAUGAAUUGAAGCUCAAAUUUUACUUUGCUCCCUAUGAAACUUUGGUCUGGCUCCACCAGUUACGACAUGGUCUUCUGCCUCAUGGCAGCAAUUUUCCCGUAGAUGUGUGAAUAUAUUUUACCGAUUUAGCUCAUAUAGAACAGCUUCGCAUGUUAAAUAGGUAACAACAUAUAAUAAUUAUUUAAGUCGAGCAUUUUAAGUUAGCCGAAAUCAAAUCAGAAAACAAUAUAAGUGUUUUUCAGAGCGAUCAGUUUUUUUAAUCAUUAACGUUGAGCAUUUAAUUUUAGGUUCCAGGACUCGUUCGUUUGUGAGGACCGAAUGUCAUAAUAACUAAUCACAAUACUAAAAGAGAAUACUCUGAGUGUUUAGGGUGUCCAUGUGUCAAAAUAAAUCAACCUAUCACGAGUUCACACUUCAUCAGAGUCUCCACGUCAGCUAGCUGCCUUCUUUCUUUCUCUCACGCCUCCCCUGACAACCCGAACGUCGCAUAUUACGAAACUUCGGUCUUCUCCACCUUUCACUAUCUCCCUCCUCCAUAACUCCUCAAAUCCUUUUUUUUAAUUCCUCUGUUAUGACUGCAGCACUAUAUAAUCCGAUGUCAACUUCUAGCUACGGCAAAUCUAAAUGUUCCUUCCUCUUUCUGUUAUUAUCCUUCAUCUUCCUUGCUUCAUCGCCUCCUUCUCAUCAAUUUGAGGAUGGAAACUACUCGACUAUGGAAUGAAAAUCUCAGAAACAAGAAGAAAUUUGAGACUCAUGUGAAUUACAACAAAUAUACAAUCUUAGAUCCGAAAGUUUGCAGGUCCUGCCUCAGAAACUUAACAGAUAGAUCUCUUAUUCUGAAGGGAAGCACAAACCAUUCACUGGAUGAAGUUUCACAAUUUGCAGAUCAAGUUUCUCUCUACUCCGAGUGCACCGAACACUGUUAUCAAAUCAAAAUGGAAACGUCGCUGAUAGCAGAAAAACAUGUUCACUGGGAUAAUGUGGUAAUUGAGAUAGAAGAAAAUUUCAUGAGAAUUAGUCACAUGCAGCAGUAGAUCUCUCACUCACCAGGAUUCUGAGCUUAUAAGGAGAAUACAAGUACCUAACUCAAAGAGAACUUUGAGAAAAUGUGGUUGUUGUUCCAUAUGGUGCUUCAAGAAGCCGACAUCGAAUUAGAUUUGAAUUGGCUGCAGCAUCAGGAGCCUUCAUAUAUUAUACUAUGAUGUUAAAUUCAUAUUUUUUACUUUUACGUAACUUUUUGAAGAAGCCUUUAACAUUUGUUUCGAAGCAGGAAUCUUCAAAGAUAACUUUCAAGAGUCAGUUGGAAACACAAGAAAUUGGGACGAGAUAAAGACAUAGACAUGAUGAUGACUGACCUCGUGCAAGGGAGAAGAGCAGGGACAGAGAUGAUAAGAAAACAAAGGGACUUUCAAAUCCAGAAUACAUGAUGAUUGAACUAAAUCUCAGCCUCAAGCUUCAGGGAAGAGAGAGGGGGGAGGGGACAAAAAAAAGCUCUGGUGGGCAAUAAAUGCGUCAAGAAAAUCUUAUGGUUUCUUGGAAGGAUGAUUUUGUUUAUUGGGCAUUUGUAGUAUUCUCAGGCUGAUAGUAGUAGACCUGUGCAAGUCGUGGCUGUUAUUUUAUUUUUGUUUCACAGGCCCAAGCAAACUAUGACAUAUGAGAGGCUUUAAUUCUGGAUCAUUCAGUUGACUUAAAUGUUUCUUCAUUGCAGUUAUGACGCGCUAAACUAACAGUAGGAAUAUUCGUAGCUGCAUUUCUUACGGUGUCAUCAACAAUGGUGGUCUAUUCUAAUUUCACUUUUUUUUUGCUUAUCUUACAUGGUAUAGAAUCUAUGUCUUUGCAUACUGCGUGUAUAAUAUUACGAUAUUCUCCUACACAUUUUGAAUUUAUUCCCUGAGCUCACUUAAACUGUACUUUUAAAAAUCUUUUCUUGAGUUUUCUUUCCCUAAUUUUUUCUUCAUGCAUGAUCCUCAUCUGGUAUCAUUAACUAAAUGUGAUUCUUGAACUAGGUCUUGAAAUUUUAAUGGAAAGAAAUAACAUAAGUUGUCUACAUGGCCAGAUAACGGCUGGAACUCUCCUUUCAGGUCUCUGAUAAGCUGUAAAUACUCAUCAGUUGCUUAUGUGGAAGGAGAGAUGAGAGAAGCAAAGAAUUGAAGAGAAAGAGAGGGUUUGACAGCUAUGGGAAGCAAUGGUAUAAAUAAAGAGAUAAGAGUGAAAGAGAUCUUCAUCGAUCUAUUAUCUCUUAAGUUUUAAUUGAUAAAUCGUAUUCUGAGAAAGUGAGAUGUUGAGGAGAGAGUCACUUGAGAUACAUUGUAUUGUGUGUUAUGGAUCAAUCGAGAGUUGGUUCGUAACAGUCUCUACUUAACAAAAUUUUUUUGUUUGUUUUGGAACUGGUUGUCGGCCAAAUCCGCAUUGUCCAAGGCUCACGAAUGGAAAAACUCUAAACACAAUAAACAAAUGUGCCUCUCCUAA